UCCCUGGUGGUCCAGUGGUUAGGACACGGCGCUUUCACUGCUGGGGCUUGGGUUCAGUCCCUGGUCAGGGAA
This is a non-coding RNA of Bos taurus (domestic cattle), 72 nucleotides long. The record is from Rfam. Lineage: Eukaryota; Metazoa; Chordata; Mammalia; Artiodactyla; Bovidae.